AUUAGGCAGGCGGAGAUGAAGGAGGCUGAAUCUCACAUCCUCAGUGACUAGCUGGGACAGUCAGUGUGCUCUGAGGAGCUGGGGGCUUGUUCCUGUGGGCUCAGAGUACAAAGUCUGAGCCACUUUUGAAAGCAAGAAAUGGCUGUCAUUAAGGAAAAACGGCAUUCCUGAGGUCACUUCAGAGGGAGGUGUGAUUCUCCCUUGCAGAGCAGAACCAAGAGCCCAGGAAGGUAGCAAGGAUGAAGGGAAUGAGCUGUGGGGACGGGAUUACCUCCAGGAGAGGGGCUGGAGGAAUGCCAACAGCUAAAUGACCGAACCACCUUCAAAGGAAUUUGGAAGAUCGCCUUCCCCAGCCACCAGGCUGCUUUGGGAGAUGCCUUUCACUGUGUUGGGGUGAAUAUCACCGAGCAGGAACAGGAAGAAGACUCCAGCCCUUCUGACACAGCAGAGGUUUCCUCCUAGAAGACAGGGAUAAGGAGGGCAGAGGGCUUCAUGUGGGCCACUGUGGGACUGUAACACCACGAAGGCCAACGGUGAGCUCCUUGGGCAUGGCCUGGGCAGCACUGAGCAGAAGGUGUUGGGCAAGUCCUUGAAGUCUGAGUUUCUGCGAGAGAAUUUGGAUUUUUUUUUUUUUUUUUGGUCAGAGAAUUGUGUGCAGGGUGGACAAGGAAACAAAUACGUCCGAGAGAAUCAACAGUUUGGGAAUAUGCAAGUUAACUUUCCAUGGCUGUGUUUCUUUGAAGAUGGACAAUGAGGUGAAACCACAGCAGGUCCCCGUGGGCUCUCACUAGGGCAAGACACAUCCCUGUAUGUCAUUGCCCCAUCUGUACUGGCUUCCCAGGCAGCCUUCAGCCGGCGUGACAGGGUUUUCCUGCCCGAGCCAACUUGAAUCAAUGUGGAGCGUAAGAUUUCAGGAGACAGUAUCAAGCCCUUCAGUAAAAUCCAAAUAGAUUGCAGCUGCUCUGCGCUACAUUAGCCCCUUAAUUUUGCAAUUCUGUCCCAAAAAACUGGGGGGAAGGGCAAAGAAAGCUGGAGUCUGAUGGGAUUUUGAUUCCGCAAAAUCAAACGCGAGUCAGAGGAAGUACUUUCCUCGGGCAGGUCGGCAUGGCAGAUUUUCCAUGUCUGUAACAUGGGCUUCUUUCGCUACCCCUGCAAGCCCCUUUUAUCCAUAAUUAAUGAUUGGCUUCUUCCCUGAAUUGGAAUUAUCUGGGUUUUCCAUGGCUAGUAUAAAAUUUUCUGAAGCAAAUUUUGGCUCUUAAGGCUCCUGUUGGCUUCCAGAGGGACUUCUGUUCCACAGGGAAGCGUUCUUCAAAACAGUUAAACGUAAAAAAAAUAAUAACAAAAAAUCCACUGCAGCCCCAAAACAAAUGAUAUAUAACUAGGUCUGUACUGAGCCAGUUUGGUGUCAUAGAUCAAGAGGGGGCCCUGGAGAUGCACCAGCCCUGCACGUUUCAGCACAACGUGACGUUUCCUGGAAAUUGCUGUCCCUCCAGCCUGCAGGGCAUCUCUGGUGUUGGGGAAUCCCAGAGAAAUGCCCGUGGGUGUUGGCUAUGGGUGGUGGCGGGGUUUAUCACUUUCAGAUCAGCUGGCAGUGUUUGUCUACACACAUCUGAGAUAAUUUCCCCUCCCACCCUAUCCUCCCAGCCUUCGUUAACAAAAACUUCCAGAGAUCUAAUCCCGAAAUACUGGGUGCUCUUCAGGACUCUGCCAGCCAUUGACCUCAAGAGUGUUGUGGACACAAAAGAGUGAACCUUGCAUCUUGUAUGUUCCUUUUUAUUUUUUAU
Molecule: long non-coding RNA, 1784 nt
Organism: Anas platyrhynchos (mallard)
Lineage: Eukaryota; Metazoa; Chordata; Aves; Anseriformes; Anatidae
Source: RefSeq, a predicted model, not a curated record